GACGAACGCUGGCGGCGUGCUUAACACAUGCAGGUCGAACGGAAAGGCCUGCUUUCCCUUGUGGAUUGCGGGUACUCGAGUGGCGAACGGGUGAGUAACACGUGAGUGAUCUGCCCCCAACUUGGGUAUAAGCCUGGGAAACUGGGUCUAAUUCCCGAUAGGACUGCAGGGUGGUGCCUGUGGUGGAAAACGAUUUUCUAGUGGUUGGGGAUGAGCUCGCGGCCUAUCAGCUUGUUGGUGAGGUAAUGGCCUACCAAGGCGGCGACGGGUAGCCGGCCUGAGAGGGUGGACGGCCACAUUGGGACUGAGAUACGGCCCAGACUCCUACGGGAGGCAGCAGUGGGGAAUAUUGCACAAUGGGCGGAAGCCUGAUGCAGCGACGCCGCGUGGGGGAUGACGGCCUUCGGGUUGUAAACUCCUUUCGACCGCGAGGAAGCCACCUGGUUGGAAGGGUGGUGACGGUAGUGGUAGAAGAAGCACCGGCUAACUACGUG
RNAcentral lists this ribosomal RNA (494 nucleotides) under uncultured bacterium. RNAcentral describes it as "partial 16S ribosomal RNA". It matches the Rfam family "Bacterial small subunit ribosomal RNA", at positions 28 to 507 of the family's 1533-position model. The record is from RNAcentral.